CCGUGAGGCGGAGGACAGGCUGGGGGAUCCCAAAGGGUGCGCUCCAGCCCCCAACCCAGGCACUGGGACUCUGGUGGCACCCUGGGUGGCAGGCAAGCCUUGAAAUCAAGUGCACGAGCCUUGGAAAGGAGGACCGGGAGAGUUAUGGCAUUUAUGAAUGAAGAAGAGAAAGAGAAUCACUCGGAUGGGAAAAGUUAACUGGAUUGUUCCCACCUGCAUGGAUCACCGGGAUGAAGCUGUGCCACCCUGUAGGAAUUAGAAGACCAUGUCCAGGAAUUGAGCACUGGGUGCAGGAUCCAGUCUUCUGAGGCCCUGAAACCACAUGGGUCACCAUAGUGCGCUUCAUGGGGUGGGAAGUGGUGGCCUCUAAGUGUCUAUCAACUGUGAAGACUGCAAAGAGGGAUCCAUGGCUGUUGGAGCAAUGAGAUACGCGAUGACGUAGACAGAUCCGGAAAGCGCAUCGUCUCCUGAGCAGAAGGGCACUCAUAAGCAACUUAGCCGUCUCGCCUUGCGGCCUGGAACCCCUGGCAAUUUCCGGAGCACCGGCAAGAGACUUUUGCACAGUUUCUGCUUGGAGUCUACCGACUGUCUGUCUCAGAGGUCUGGACAGCUGCUUGUUACAUUUGGCUCACGCUAGCUUAAAAAAGGAAUUUAUGGACCUUACUGCAGAACGUCCCAAUUCUUCAGGCCAAGGUGCCUGUGUUCCUGCUCGGUUUCUGGAUUGCUUGGUACUUAAAUGAAACAUCUUAUUAAUCAUUUCCCGGGAAUGCUGUGCAGGCAAAAGGAAAACAAAGGCAUUCAGGAGCCACAGAAAAGUGUACUGGCUCCUGUCCUGGAUCAACUCAGAAAAUGAAACACAUCGGAUUCUGUCCAGGCCGGGCACAGCAACCUGGCCCAUCCAUGUGGAGCCUGCAGUGACCACUUCCGCUGUCUGCACAAAACUGGAGGGAGGCUGGGGGUGCUCCAAGUAUAAGUUUCCUCAUCAGCAAACCGGAAAGAGAAAGACCGACCUGGAGGCUGGUUAUGGGGAUAAAAUAAAUAUGUCCUUAUAUAUGUGUAUAAAGCCCCAGCACAAACAGCAGUCGCCGCAUGGGUCAGGGAGGCACUGCUUGGAGCCUUAUGUGACCGUGUUCUCACAUUAUCUUCCAACUGGUUUGGGAGACAGGUACUGCUAUGAUCUCUGUAUUACACAGAAGCAAACUGAAGCUCAGAGUGGCCGCUCACUUCACUCCGAACAGAAGGUGCUUGAGCUCUGUGCUGAUAGAUGGAAUCCCAGAUUUUCCAUUUAACUUUUGAUGUUGUGUCGUGGGAGUGGUGUUCCACCUUUGGAGGGUUUUAAGGACUCUUUAUUAACCAGCAAGGGUUCUUGUGCCUUUAAGGAGGAGUGAUUGAGAGGCACCUGCAAGGCCGGUGGAGGCUGCUCUGGAGGCCUGCCUCUUCCAGCCCACAGGCCCUGCUUCCUGGAACUGGUGUGGGUCACUCAUUCCAGUUCGCCUCUGAAACUAUUUUCAUGACAGUAAGCUGCUACCUCAAGAAACAGCAACAGUAGGGAUUUUGCCUGUCAGGUAAGGUGCUUGGGGAGUGAAGGCUGUGGUCAGGAUCCAAGCAGGAAGCCUGAGUUCAUGUCUAUUCUUCACCGAGCAUGGCCAAGUCCAUUUGAGUCCAUCUCCAGAAGACAUGUCAAAAUCACCCACUUAUCUCCAUCUUCAACUCCUCCCAGGUCACCACCUUAUCUUCCUUAGAUGACUGCACUAGCUUCCUGACUGGUUUCCCUAAAACCCAUUCAUUUAUCUAUCCCUUCUACCAUUUCUCCCACCAAACAUCCAUCUCACCACCCACCAUCCUGCCACUUAUCUUUCCCUCCCUCCCUCAUUCCCUUCCUCCAUCUAUCUCUCCAUCCAUCCAUCCAUCCAUCCAUCCAUCCAUCCAUCCACCCACUAAUAUGUAUUUAGUGGUUACAAUGUCCCAAGCACUGUAUGGGUCCCAGUGUAGGUGGAAAAGGAAACAGAUUUCCUGACCUCAAACAAAACAAUAAAUUUCAAAGUAAGAAGCCCCACGAGGGAGGAAGUGUAGGCUGUCUUGAAAGAGGAUGAUAUCAGGAGACAUAUAUGGAGAGGGCUUGGAGGAGGUGAUGCGCCUCACCAGGAGGUGAUAUACUGAUAGAGGGACUAUAUAAUUUAUUGAUCAAACGGGGCCAUUUUGGGGAGUGAGAGGAGGAGCUAUUAAACAUUUUUUCAGGGCACCAGGUGCAUGUCAGGACUGGCCAGGUAAACUGAGCUGCAUGGCUACCUCCUACAAGCCAAGGUUCACAGCAUGAGCUGAGAAAGGGGCAAGGAGGAGAGAAAUGCCCCUUCCUUUCCUUGGGGAGAGCCUGCAAACCUACAUUUAAAAGAACUAGGAGAAGGCUGGGUCCGGUGGCUCACGCCUGUAAUCCCAGCUCUUUGGGAGGCUGAGGUGGGUGGAUCAUGAGGUCAG
Molecule: long non-coding RNA, 2475 nt
Filed under: Homo sapiens (human)
Lineage: Eukaryota; Metazoa; Chordata; Mammalia; Primates; Hominidae
Description: HSALNT0402079
Source: RNAcentral